CACCUCAACUGCACUCAUCUCCCACUCCCACUGCCUCCUGUCCGCCAUGGCGAGGCUCAAGCUCAGGCUCACUGUAGCCACCCUCUUCCUCCUUCUCAUAGAGCUCUCCUCCCUCCUUCCCUCCUCCCUCGCCUGCCCCUACUGCAAGUUCCCACCCAAGCACCCCCCUAAGGUCAAGCCCUCCCCCCACCCCCACCCGCACCCCAAACCCAAACCCCAUCUCAAACCCCCGCCGGUAGUCCAGCCUCCACUGCCACCCAUCGUAGGACCCAAACCUCCACCCCAUGUCAUACCUCCAAUGCCUCCAAUCGUGAAGCCUCCUCCCUACAUCAAACCCCCUCCAGUAGUCCGGCCUCCACUGCCACCCAUCGUCAAACGCCCACCCCAUGCCAAGCCGCCCCAUGUCAAGCCACCCCAUCUCAAGCCGCCCCAUGUCAAGCCGCCGAUGCCUCCUAUCGUGAAGCCUCCACCCGUCGUCAAGCCGCCGCCAGUCGUCUUGCCGCCCGUCGUGAAGCCACCACCGGUGGUCAAGCCCCCGCCCGUCGUGAAGCCACCACCCAUGGUCAAGCCGCCGCCCGUCGUGAAGCCACCACCCGUGGUCAAGCCCCCGCCCGUCGUCAAGCCGCCGCCAGUCGUCUUGCCGCCUGUCGUGAAGCCACCACCCAUGGUCAAGCCACCACCCGUGGUCAAGCCGCCACCCGUCGUGAAGCCGCCACCCGUCGUGAAGCCACCACCCGUGGUCAAGCCCCCGCCCGUCGUGAAGCCACCACCCGUGGUCAAGCCCCCGCCCGUCGUGAAGCCACCACCCGUCGUCAUGCCGCCUGUCGUGAAGCCACCACCCGUGGUCAAGCCCCCGCCCGUCGUCACGCCGCCGGUGCCACCUGUCGUGAAGCCGCCACCCGUCGUCACGCCGCCGGUGCCGCCCGUCGUGACGCCACCACCUGUGGUCAGCCGGCCACCGAAAGGCAAGGUGCCGUGCCCACCGCCACCGCCGUCGCCGACGCCGCCGGCGACGAAGACGUGCCCAGUGGACACGCUGAAGCUGGGGGCGUGCGUGGACUUGCUAGGGGGUUUGGUGCACGUUGGCAUCGGGAAGAAGGCCAAGGCGACGUGCUGCCCGCUGCUUGAAGGGCUGGCGGAUCUGGACGCAGCCCUCUGUCUGUGCACGACCAUCAGAGCCAAGCUUCUCAACAUCAACAUCGUGCUGCCGAUUGCGUUGGAGCUGAUGAUUGGGUGUGGGAAGCACCCGCCAUCCGGUUAUCAGUGUCCUGCACCUGCCUAAAUAUAUAUCUACUAUCUGGGGACCGGUUAGUGUGGUCUAGAUUAAAUCUGCACGAGGCCUGUCAAAGUGUUGAGAGAUGGGCAGUGAUGAGAGGUUUGACAGUAGACACAAACUUUGGGGUCUAGCUCGACCAGCUGACUGGUAUUCAUUUAGGCUUGGUUUCAACACCAGGCAUGCAUGUUUCCAGUCAAAUUUGGCCUGACUAAAGCUACGAUUUGUUAUUUGGAUCUUGGAAGAGAAUAAAUCACGGGCUGCUUGGAAAGAAAGCAGGGAGUGGUCAGAGCGUGUUCAGUUUCUUGCUUUAUCUACUUUUUGUGAGAUUAAAUAGUGGAAUGUGCUGUAGACUUGGCUGUGGUGCGGUUGUUCAAAAAAGUGAUGGAGUUCUUUAUGCAAAAGUGACCAACAAGCUCUUCAGUCCUUUUCAUGCAUUAAAA
This is a non-coding RNA of Phoenix dactylifera (date palm), 1716 nucleotides long. NCBI's taxonomy places the organism in Eukaryota, Viridiplantae, Streptophyta, Magnoliopsida, Arecales, Arecaceae. The record is from RefSeq and is a predicted model, not a curated record.